RNAcentral lists this unclassified non-coding RNA (215 nucleotides) under soil metagenome. RNAcentral's name for it is "partial contains 5.8S ribosomal RNA, internal transcribed spacer 2, and large subunit ribosomal RNA". The record is from RNAcentral.
AACCUAGCACACCUGCGGUGUGUACCUGCGGAAGGAUCAUUAACAAGCUGUGGGAGAUCGAUCAAUUUGAUCUCACACCUGGCCAACCUUGUUAACCUUAAAUAUAUUGCUUUGGUGAGCCCUGCUCACCAAAGUCAAACCCUAAACUCUUGAUUGUUUCUGCUGUCUGAGCAUGCAAGUGCAAAAUUUAGUUAAAAACUUUCAACAACGGAUCU